CCUACGGGUGACAGCAGUGAGGAAUAUUGGUCAAUGGGCGCGAGCCUGAACCAGCCAAGUCGCGUGAGGGAAGACGGCCCUACGGGUUGUAAACCUCUUUUGCCGGGGAUUAACGGGCGCCACGUGUGGCGCCACUGAGAGUACCCGGAGAAAAAGCCUCGGCUAACUCCGUGCCAGCAGCCGCGGUAAUACGGAGGAUGCGAGCGUUAUCUGGAUUUAUUGGGUUUAAAGGGUGCGUAGGCGGAGCGUUAAGUCAGUGGUCAAAUUGAGGGGCUCAACCCCUUCCCGCCAUUGAAACUGGCGCUCUUGAGUGGAAGAGAAGUAUGCGGAAUGCGUGGUGUAGCGGUCAAAUGCAUAGAUAUCACGCAGAACUCCGAUUGCGAAGGCAGCAUACCGGCGCCCGACUGACGCUGAGGCACGAAAGCGUGGGGAUCGAACAGGAUUAGAGACCCGAGUAGUC
RNAcentral lists this ribosomal RNA (460 nucleotides) under uncultured bacterium. Its description in RNAcentral is "partial 16S ribosomal RNA". It matches the Rfam family "Bacterial small subunit ribosomal RNA", at positions 338 to 795 of the family's 1533-position model. The record is from RNAcentral.